UACGUAGGGUGCAAGCGUUAAUCGGAAUUACUGGGCGUAAAGCGUGCGCAGGCGGUUUUGUAAGUCUGUCGUGAAAUCCCCGGGCUCAACCUGGGAAUUGCGAUGGAGACUGCAAGGCUAGAAUCUGGCAGAGGGGGGUAGAAUUCCACGUGUAGCAGUGAAAUGCGUAGAGAUGUGGAGGAACACCGGAAUGGCGAAGGCAGCCCC
RNAcentral lists this ribosomal RNA (207 nucleotides) under uncultured bacterium. RNAcentral describes it as "partial 16S ribosomal RNA". It matches the Rfam family "Bacterial small subunit ribosomal RNA", at positions 524 to 728 of the family's 1533-position model. The record is from RNAcentral.